This 432-nucleotide ribosomal RNA is filed under the name uncultured bacterium. Its description in RNAcentral is "partial 16S ribosomal RNA". It matches the Rfam family "Bacterial small subunit ribosomal RNA", at positions 38 to 507 of the family's 1533-position model. The record is from RNAcentral.
GGGGGGGGGGGGGGGGGGGGCGGGCAGGGGGGGGGCGAGCGGGAGGGGCGGGGGGGGUGGCGCGGGGGGGCGGGGCGCGUGGGGAGCGGCGCGGAGGUUCGGCAUCGCUCCCCGAAAGGGGUGCUAAUACCGGAGAAUGUCUUCGGACCACAGAUUUAUCGCCUGUGGAUGGGCCCGCGUUGGAUUAGCUAGUUGUUAGGGUAAAAGCCUACCAAGGCGACGAUCCAUAGCUGGUCUGAGAGGAUGAUCAGCCACACUGGGACUGAGACACGGCCCAGACUCCUACGGGAGGCAGCAGUGGGGAAUAUUGGACAAUGGCGAAAGCCUGAUCCAGCAAUGCCGCGUGAGUGAUGAAGGCCUUAGGGUUGUAAAGCUCUUUUACCCGGGAUGAUAAUGACAGUACCGGGAGAAUAAGCUCCGGCUAACUCCGUG